CAGCCAACAGCCUCUAUUGACCGAAGACUUGGGGGACUACACUAUGUACCAUAUAUUGGGCCUCAUGAAAAAUACUUGGGGGACUUAGCCCAUUAUUUAUGUAUUGAGAAGCGAGCCCUUAUUCUAUAAAAAUGGACUCCCUCACUUUCAUUAGAGAGCACCCAUUAUUCAUGUACUGAGGAGCGAGCCCUUAUUUUUUAAAAGGGACUCCCUCACAUUCAUUAGAGAGCAUCGCUGCCAGCUG
This 244-nucleotide long non-coding RNA is filed under the name Malus domestica (apple). RNAcentral's name for it is "long non-coding RNA (MDOM_LNC016211)". Lineage: Eukaryota; Viridiplantae; Streptophyta; Magnoliopsida; Rosales; Rosaceae. The record is from RNAcentral.